RNAcentral lists this ribosomal RNA (371 nucleotides) under uncultured bacterium. RNAcentral's name for it is "bacterial SSU rRNA". It matches the Rfam family "Bacterial small subunit ribosomal RNA", at positions 527 to 896 of the family's 1533-position model. The record is from RNAcentral.
GUAGGUGGCAAGCGUUGUCCGGAAUUAUUGGGCGUAAAGCGCGCGCAGGUGGGAUAAUAAGUCUGGUGUGAAAGUUCGGGGCUCAACCCCGUGAAGCAUUUGGAUACUGUUAUUCUUGAGUGCAGGAGAGGAAAGUGGAAUUCCUAGUGUAGCGGUGAAAUGCGUAGAUAUUAGGAGGAACACCAGUGGCGAAGGCGACUUUCUGGACUGUGUCUGACACUGAGGCGCGAAAGCCAGGGUAGUGAACGGGAUUAGAUACCCCGGUAAUCCUGGCCGUAAACGAUGGGUACUAGGUGUUGGGGGUAUCGACCCCUCCAGUGCCGGAGUUAACGCAAUAAGUACCCCGCCUGGGGAGUACGGCCGCAAGGUUG